RNAcentral lists this long non-coding RNA (821 nucleotides) under Bos taurus (domestic cattle). RNAcentral describes it as "long non-coding RNA NONBTAT022288". The record is from RNAcentral. Lineage: Eukaryota; Metazoa; Chordata; Mammalia; Artiodactyla; Bovidae.
CAGACACAUUUAUAACGUUUGAAUUUAACGUUCUAUUUUCAGAAUCCAGUUGUGUUGAAUAGCGUUAUAUAAAUUCCUAAAUUUCAAUUCAGAUGUCAUGAUUUUAGGAGAAUAUUAUCUUCUUCAAGAUGAAUAUUUAGGUCUGUUUCAGCUCUAGUAUUCAUUUCAGCUCUAAUUUCCUCACUUGAAGUGAGGAUAAAAAUGGUGGAUUUCAUUUAGUAGUAAUAAAUUUUUUUAGCUGAAGCAUUAUCAGUAAUGCAUGUCAAUGAAACAUGACUUUUUAUACUUGAACCAGACAUAUUAUUUUUAAAUCCCCAAAGAAUUUUCAUGUUAACUAUGACUUAAAAACUAUGGAAAUGUUUUAAAUGCUCAGCUUAUUUUACUAAUUUCAAAAAUCAAAAACUAUAUAAUCUUUGCUUGAUAUCAGAGUAUGGUUUCCUCUUACUACCACUGACUCAGAGCCUUCCAUGCCUCCCGGAGGCAAGUGCAGCUGAACUGAACUUUGUUCAGUAAAGACCUGAUAUUUUAUCCCGGGAAUCUUCUAUCUCUUUCCUGCCCUCACCCCUCUGCCCCAGGCUGAAGAGCACUCCACUGUCCAGAAGUAGCAGGUCCAAGAUUUUUACUUUCUGUGAUAAGUUAUAAGAAGAGAACUCACCCUAUUAUGGAGUAGGUCAGGAUAUUUUUCUGAUCUCUAUAGCAGUGUAUAAUUCAUGUCAUAACUUCAGCCACUUCACUUCAGUAUCCCAUAACAUGAAUCUUGUUAUAAAUUAUUUUUAUCUUUAUAAGUAUAUGAAGAUUCUGUAUUAAACCAUUCUUUCAUU